CCAGUCUUGAACUUCAACUUCCAGAUCCA
This 29-nucleotide non-coding RNA is filed under the name Mus musculus (house mouse). Lineage: Eukaryota; Metazoa; Chordata; Mammalia; Rodentia; Muridae. The record is from RNAcentral.